GCAAGUCGAACGAUGAUCCCCAGCUUGCUGGGGGGAUUAGUGGCGAACGGGUGAGUAACACGUGAGUAACCUGCCCUUAACUCUGGGAUAAGCCUGGGAAACUGGGUCUAAUACCGGAUAUGACUCCUCAUCGCAUGGUGGGGGGUGGAAAGCUUUAUUGUGGUUUUGGAUGGACUCGCGGCCUAUCAGCUUGUUGGUGAGGUAAUGGCUUACCAAGGCGACGACGGGUAGCCGGCCUGAGAGGGUGACCGGCCACACUGGGACUGAGACACGGCCCAGACUCCUACGGGAGGCAGCAGUGGGGAAUAUUGCACAAUGGGCGCAAGCCUGAUGCAGCGACGCCGCGUGAGGGAUGACGGCCUUCGGGUUGUAAACCUCUUUCAGUAGGGAAGAAGCGAAAGUGACGGUACCUGCAGAAGAAGCGCCGG
This 428-nucleotide ribosomal RNA is filed under the name unidentified bacterium TMB815. RNAcentral describes it as "bacterial SSU rRNA". It matches the Rfam family "Bacterial small subunit ribosomal RNA", at positions 57 to 496 of the family's 1533-position model. The record is from RNAcentral.